AUUGAACGCUGGCGGCAUGCUUUACACAUGCAAGUCGAACGGUAACAGGCCUUCGGGUGCUGACGAGUGGCGAACGGGUGAGUAAUGCAUCGGAACGUACCCAGAGGUGGGGGAUAACGCAGCGCAAGCUGUGCUAAUACCGCAUGUGAUCUGAGGAUGAAAGCGGGGGACCGAGCAGCAAUGUUUGGCCUCGCGCCUUUGGAGCGGCCGAUGUCGGAUUAGCUAGUUGGUGGGGUAAAGGCCUACCAAGGCGACGAUCCGUAGCUGGUCUGAGAGGACGACCAGCCACACUGGGACUGAGACACGGCCCAGACUCCUACGGGAGGCAGCAGUGGGGAAUUUUGGACAAUGGGCGCAAGCCUGAUCCAGCAAUGCCGCGUGCGGGAAGAAGGCCUUCGGGUUGUAAACCGCUUUUGGCAGGAACGAAACGGUGUCCGCUAAUACCGGGCGCUAAUGACGGUACCUGCAGAAUAAGCACCGGCUAACUACGUG
Molecule: ribosomal RNA, 492 nt
Filed under: uncultured bacterium
Lineage: Bacteria
Description: partial 16S ribosomal RNA
Rfam family: Bacterial small subunit ribosomal RNA
Source: RNAcentral